UACGGAAGGCAGCAGUGGGGAAUAUUGCACAAUGGGCGCAAGCCUGAUGCAGCCAUGCCGCGUGUAUGAAGAAGGCCUUCGGGUUGUAAAGUACUUUCAGCGGGGAGGAAGGCGAUGUGGUUAAUAACCGCAUCGAUUGACGUUACCCGCAGAAGAAGCACCGGCUAACUCCGUGCCAGCAGCCGCGGUAAUACGGAGGGUGCAAGCGUUAAUCGGAAUUACUGGGCGUAAAGCGCACGCAGGCGGUCUGUCAAGUCGGAUGUGAAAUCCCCGGGCUUAACCUGGGAACUGCAUUCGAAACUGGCAGGCUAGAGUCUUGUAGAGGGGGUAGAAUUCCAGGUGUAGCGGUGAAAUGCGUAGAGAUCUGGAGGAAUACCGGUGGCGAAGGCGGGCCCCUGGACAAAGCUGACGCUCAGGUGCGAAAGCGUGGGGAGCAAACAGGAUUAGGAUAACC
RNAcentral lists this ribosomal RNA (454 nucleotides) under uncultured bacterium. RNAcentral's name for it is "bacterial SSU rRNA". It matches the Rfam family "Bacterial small subunit ribosomal RNA", at positions 340 to 787 of the family's 1533-position model. The record is from RNAcentral.